GGGGGCGGGGCACGGGCUGGCUGGAGGCUCACGGCACCCCUGGAGAACUUCACCCUCCCCUGAUUUUCCAGAGAUGGAGACACAGGCGCUCACCCAGCUGGGAAGCCACUGAACUGGGACUCAAACCCAGGCCCACAGGAGGAGGCCAAAGGAUUCCUUUAGUGCCCCUCUGCGGUGGACUGGCAUCUCACAACUUGGAAUACCAGGAGAUGGGCAGAAGCCCUUGCUGAGGUCCAGACAGAAGAAGUGGGACCCAGAGGGAGCAGCCCAGCCUCUCACACGGCCGAGUGAGAUGACUCUUGGGGCAGGGGCUGUUUCUUGGGGGGAAGGGAGUGGUUCUGCUGCCUGGGCCUUCUCCUCAGGCAACACCUCAAGCCCUGGCCAUGUACGAGUGGGGAGAAGCAUCUGCCAACAAAUUCCAUCUUCAGACCCCUGUGGGGCACCUCCUGGGGGCAGGGUCCAGGAAUGAACCAGUCCUGCCCCCCAUGCUAGGGGUAUAGUGGGCACAUGGCCACCGGAAUAAAGACUACAUUUCCCAGUGCCCUAAUAGCUAUGGGUGGCCAAUGGGUUGUAAGUGAAAUAUCAGCUUCUGAGAACUUUCCUUAAAACACAUCUGGCAAAUUGCCCCUUUUCUCUUCUCCUCAAUCCAACUAGAUGGAACGUCGGUGUGUGACAGGAGUCACAGUAGCAAUAUUUGACUAUAAGAUGAUCUUGGGCAGUUUAGUUAUAGUGAGAGCAGGAAUCUAAACAGCAACAGGAUAAGCCAGAAAACAAGGAACAAUGUCUUCAAAGUGCUAAAAGAAAACAUCAACUUAAAAUCCUAAAUCCACCUAAAUAUUUAAGAGCAAAGGCUUAAUAAAGACA
Orcinus orca (killer whale) is the source of this 864-nucleotide long non-coding RNA. RefSeq lists it as uncharacterized. NCBI's taxonomy places the organism in Eukaryota, Metazoa, Chordata, Mammalia, Artiodactyla, Delphinidae. The record is from RefSeq and is a predicted model, not a curated record. The transcript has 2 exons.